RNAcentral lists this ribosomal RNA (396 nucleotides) under uncultured bacterium. Its description in RNAcentral is "bacterial SSU rRNA". It matches the Rfam family "Bacterial small subunit ribosomal RNA", at positions 29 to 414 of the family's 1533-position model. The record is from RNAcentral.
AGCGAACGCUGGCGGUAUGCUUAACACAUGCAAGUCGAGCGCGAAAGUGACUUCGGUCAUAAGUAGAGCGGCGGACGGGUGAGUAACACGUGGAUAAUCUGCCUUUAGGACUGGGAUAACCCUGGGAAACUAGGGCUAAUACCGGAUAAGACCACAGGUUCCAUGGAACCAGGGGUAAAAGGCGGCCUUCGGGCUGUCGCCGAAAGAUGAGUCCGCGUCCCAUCAGGUAGUUGGUGAGGUAACGGCUCACCAAGCCGAAGACGGGUAGCCGACCUUAGCGGGUGAUCGGCCACACGGGGACUGAGACACGGCCCCGACUCCUACGGGAGGCAGCAGUGGGGAAUCUUGGGCAAUGGGCGCAAGCCUGACCCAGCAAUACCGCGUGAGGGAUGAAGG